Long non-coding RNA from Pseudophryne corroboree (corroboree frog), 348 nucleotides. RefSeq lists it as uncharacterized. NCBI's taxonomy places the organism in Eukaryota, Metazoa, Chordata, Amphibia, Anura, Myobatrachidae. The record is from RefSeq and is a predicted model, not a curated record. The transcript has 3 exons.
CUUCCUUCUAUCAUUCCCACAAGGCAGCAGGAGCAGAGAGCAGCCAUUGCUGUGUCUGGCAGCAGCAGGAUUACACCAUACUAAAGAAGACAUCCGGUGAGCGUGAGACCCCCAGCAUCCAUCCUCAUGUUGCAUGUGGACUAAACAGGACCUAGAGCCCCAUCACGGUGCCUCCACCUCACUCACUGACUCACUGAUACAUAAGAGACACAAUGACCAGAAGAUCCUGGAACUCACCAACAAGAUCAUUCAGCUGCUGACUGGAGAGGAGUGGGAGUAUAUAGAGGAACACAGGGGUCUGUACAAGGACGUGAUGAUGGAGAAUCACCGGCCCCUCACAUCACUGGG